This 77-nucleotide transfer RNA is filed under the name Cereibacter sphaeroides. RNAcentral's name for it is "Rhodobacter sphaeroides tRNA-Met". It matches the Rfam family "tRNA". From Rfam's summary of the family: Transfer RNA (tRNA) molecules are approximately 80 nucleotides in length. Their secondary structure includes four short double-helical elements and three loops (D, anti-codon, and T loops). RNAcentral also lists the same sequence under 11 other names. Lineage: Bacteria; Pseudomonadati; Pseudomonadota; Alphaproteobacteria; Rhodobacterales; Paracoccaceae. The record is from RNAcentral.
GGCGAGGUAGCUCAGCUGGUUAGAGCACACGACUCAUAAUCGUGGGGUCGGGGGUUCAAGUCCCCCCCUCGCCACCA